Molecule: ribosomal RNA, 275 nt
Filed under: uncultured Nocardioides sp.
Lineage: Bacteria; Bacillati; Actinomycetota; Actinomycetes; Propionibacteriales; Nocardioidaceae
Description: partial 16S ribosomal RNA
Rfam family: Bacterial small subunit ribosomal RNA
Source: RNAcentral
CCUACGGGGGGCUGCAGUGGGGAAUAUUGGACAAUGGGCGGAAGCCUGAUCCAGCAACGCCGCGUGAGGGAUGACGGCCUUCGGGUUGUAAACCUCUUUCAGCAGGGACGAAGCGCAAGUGACGGUACCUGCAGAAGAAGCACCGGCCAACUACGUGCCAGCAGCCGCGGUAAUACGUAGGGUGCGAGCGUUGUCCGGAAUUAUUGGGCGUAAAGGGCUCGUAGGCGGUUUGUCGCGUCGGGAGUGAAAACGCCGUGCUUAACACGGCGCUUGCU